Molecule: ribosomal RNA, 482 nt
Filed under: uncultured bacterium
Lineage: Bacteria
Description: partial 16S ribosomal RNA
Rfam family: Bacterial small subunit ribosomal RNA
Source: RNAcentral
AUUGAACGCUGGCGGCAUGCUUUACACAUGCAAGUCGAACGGUAACAGGCCGCAAGGUGCUGUCGAGUGGCGAACGGGGGAGUAAUGCAUCCGAACGUGCCCAGUCGUGGGGGAUAACUACUCGAAAGAGUAGCUAAUACCGCAUACGAUCUAUGGAUGAAAGCGGGGGACCGUAAGGCCUCGCGCGAUUGGAGCGGUCGAUGUCAGAUUAGGUAGUUGGUGGGGUAAAGGCUCACCAAGCCAACGAUCUGUAGCUGGUCUGAGAGGACGACCAGCCACACUGGGACUGAGACACGGCCCAGACUCCUACGGGAGGCAGCAGUGGGGAAUUUUGGACAAUGGGCGCAAGCCUGAUCCAGCAAUGCCGCGUGCAGGAAGAAGGCCUUCGGGUUGUAAACUGCUUUUGUACGGAACGAAACGGCUCUGGUUAAUACCCGGGGCUAAUGACGGUACCGUAAGAAUAAGCACCGGCUAACUACGUG